GAUGAACGCUGGCGGCGUGCUUAACACAUGCAAGUCGAACGAUGAAGCCCAGCUUGCUGGGUGGAUUAGUGGCGAACGGGUGAGUAACACGUGAGUAACCUGCCCUUAACUCUGGGAUAAGCCUGGGAAACUGGGUCUAAUACCGGAUAGGAGCGUCCACCGCAUGGUGGGUGUUGGGAAGGUUUUAUCGGUUUUGGAUGGACUCGCGGCCUAUCAGCUUGUUGGUGAGGUAAUGGCUCACCAAGGCGACGACGGGUAGCCGGCCUGAGAGGGUGACCGGCCACACUGGGACUGAGACACGGCCCAGACUCCUACGGGAGGCAGCAGUGGGGAAUAUUGCACAAUGGGCGCAAGCCUGAUGCAGCGACGCCGCGUGAGGGAUGACGGCCUUCGGGUUGUAAACCUCUUCCAGUAGGGAAGAAGCGAAAGUGACGGUACCUGCAGAAGAAGCACCGGCUAACUACGUG
This 467-nucleotide ribosomal RNA is filed under the name uncultured bacterium. Its description in RNAcentral is "partial 16S ribosomal RNA". It matches the Rfam family "Bacterial small subunit ribosomal RNA", at positions 28 to 507 of the family's 1533-position model. The record is from RNAcentral.